Molecule: long non-coding RNA, 785 nt
Organism: Drosophila guanche
Lineage: Eukaryota; Metazoa; Arthropoda; Insecta; Diptera; Drosophilidae
Exons: 2
Source: RefSeq, a predicted model, not a curated record
AGUUUCAAGGUCCCUCUGAAAAAUGCCAGCAACCGGAUCACAUUUUUAUUUUGUGCGUGCUUUUGAGAAGUUCUUGCGAAAGAGAAGAGACCGAUAAUCCACUUCCAACCUCAGUGGCAAAAGAGGAGUUGGAUGUUGAAAGUCGCAAGGGAAACAUGCAACACAUCAAGGAGGACACUCGCAUUUCGUUCGGAGAAUAUCAAAAGAACAAGAACGCCAUUCGAGAUCCGAGGCUAACAUCAAAAGCGUAACCAUAUCUGGGCCUUAAAAUCAAAACGGAGUCGGAGACACAAUCGCUGUCGAAGACGAAUCCAGCGACAAUAGACGACAGAGACUGGAUCGCUCUUUGCGUAGAGCAGUUGCAGAUGGAUAUGCAAGAAAGUUUGAUCCAACCGAGCACAGAGACAGCCCGCUCUUACAUGGAUGGAAUCAUCCCUUCUUCAUCUCAGCCGCAGUCAGAGCCAAGAUUAGAGCCAGAAACUUUUAACGAGGCAAAAUUCAUCGCUCUUUUUGCAGAUGAGAAGACGGGAGCUACGGGAGAACAGGUUCAAAACCACCAAACAACUGCUGCGUGUCCUAUCCGACGAUACAGAUGAUACAGGGGGCUUCCCAUAAUUGUGAUUUUUACUAUGUGUAUAAUAUUUAUUGCCCAAUGGGUUACAAAAAACUAUCAAAACUAGAGACGUUCCCUCGCUCUCUCUAUCUGGCGUAUUGCCAAAAUUUCCAAUCGAAAAGUUUAAUUGACAGACAAAUCGUAAAUUUUGCAAAGAGACAUUCAAGAAAUA